CCGUCGAAUCGGACGGCCAGAUCAGCGGUGACUCCCUCCCUCCCGUCCCGCCGAUGCACUUCCUCCGCUGCUCCUCUACGCCAGCUCCUUCCAGUAGCCUCAAACCCUAGCCGCCGCCGCCGCCGCCGCGGCCCUACAAGCAGCUUCCCUCCCUCCUCCGCCGCCUCCUCCUCUACGCCCUCCCUCCUCCGCUGCCCUCCCGUCCCACCAUCACUGCCGCCGCCGCCUCCCUGCUGUUUCGCAUCNNNNNNNNNNNNNNNNNNNNNNNNNNNNNNNNNNNNNCUCGCGAGUUCGCCCGCCCGCCCGCCGCGCGCCUGCGCCGAUCUCCAUCCCGCGAGACGGGAGCAGUGCCGCCACCCCCGCUGCUUCCGCCGCCCCGCCGGUGAGCGCCCGUAUCCUCAGAUAUACUCAGAUAUGCUCCGUAGCUUCAGUUCUUCGCUGGUAGUGCUAAUAUCAGUGGUGCUAGUUUGUUCUUCCCCCAAAGAAAUUUGGCCCCCAUGCCCCACGAUGGUUUGGUCCGCCCCCUAAACACGGUAUUUGUUUUUGUUAUAUAUGCAAAUUCAGUUAGUUCAAAAUCUGUAUGCGGAUUGCGUGUUAACCUGCCCGCUAGCUAGUCUAGGUUCUGAACCCCAUCAUCCCAUGGUUUGAAUUUGAUGACUAGUACAUGCUUGUUUAGGGCACGAUAUUGGUUUAGUUGAUCCCAUUGGACGUGGUACCCAUGGUAUGCGUUUAAAAAUUUCUGCGUGUUUGUAGUUUCCAGCCAUGCCGGGGUUUAGUUUUAUACUUGUAUUUGUGUUAAGUUCCUGUAGUAGAGAUUGAUGCUUUGUUGAGAUUUCGAUGCACUAGGGGUAGCGGAUUGGAUGUGUGAACCGUUUCAGAAUUUAUGGGACAAACAAGAAGAGCUAAAAAUGAAGUAUUUUUGGGUCUGAGGUCAUAUCUGUUCAUUUAUCUUAGUAAGAAAGAACAGCAAUUAUAGGGGCAUAUUGAUUACAUUAGUCUAUUAAUUUGAGUUUGUUUGACAACAUAAUCAAAUAUCAUUAUAAGUGUUAAUCACCUGCUUGAAUGUUGAUGAUAUGACCCAAGUAAUUUAGUACCAAUGUCAUGUAUUUUUUCUAUUGUAUUCCCAUAUUUUUAUGAUUUAUUCUGAUAUACUGAUUAAUUUGGGCAUUUUUCUGAUUAUUUUCCUGAAUUAUCCUGAUUUUCUGUGAUUUUUUGGAUUUAUUUACGAAUUUUCCUGUAUUUUUUAGAAUUAUCCGGAUUUAUGAGCCAAUUUUCCUGAAUUUUCGUGAAUUCCUAGACAUUUUAUAAUUUAAUUACGAUUUUUCUUACUUAUUUCCUGAUUUAAAAUUAAUUAUGUCAUUUUCAAAAUUAUUUACUGAUUUUCCAUAUUUAUUUACUGCUCUACAUUUAUUUCUGUCAUUUAUUUGCUAACAUGGGCAAAACAGUCUUUUUACACCGCCAUUUCACACUGUUAAGUCUCCAUCCAUCCAAAAUGGCGUGUAGGUAAAAGAAAGUUGGGUCGAUGGCAUAUAGGUGUCUAUAAACUUUUUAGUGGCACGCAAGUAACCACCAACUUUUUUAAUGACAUAUAGGUAGGACUCUCAAUCGGGUGCCGCCUCCUACUGACGCCCUCCAUUCAUCGCCGCCUUCCAUCCCGCCGCCGCCUCCUCCACGCCUCACCUCCAACGCCGCCCUACCAUCCACCGCCGCCCUGCCGUCUCGCCUCCACCGGGUGCCGCCCCCUCUACGCC
RNAcentral lists this long non-coding RNA (1751 nucleotides) under Oryza brachyantha (malo sina). RNAcentral describes it as "long non-coding RNA (OBRA_LNC000810)". Lineage: Eukaryota; Viridiplantae; Streptophyta; Magnoliopsida; Poales; Poaceae. The record is from RNAcentral.